This 436-nucleotide ribosomal RNA is filed under the name Streptomyces luridiscabiei. RNAcentral describes it as "bacterial SSU rRNA". It matches the Rfam family "Bacterial small subunit ribosomal RNA", at positions 20 to 473 of the family's 1533-position model. The record is from RNAcentral. Lineage: Bacteria; Bacillati; Actinomycetota; Actinomycetes; Kitasatosporales; Streptomycetaceae.
UGGCUCAGGACGAACGCUGGCGGCGUGCUUAACACAUGCAAGUCGAACGAUGAAGCCUUUCGGGGUGGAUUAGUGGCGAACGGGUGAGUAACACGUGGGCAAUCUGCCCUUCACUCUGGGACAAGCCCUGGAAACGGGGUCUAAUACCGGAUAACACUCUGUCCCGCAUGGGACGGGGUUAAAAGCUCCGGCGGUGAAGGAUGAGCCCGCGGCCUAUCAGCUUGUUGGUGGGGUAAUGGCCUACCAAGGCGACGACGGGUAGCCGGCCUGAGAGGGCGACCGGCCACACUGGGACUGAGACACGGCCCAGACUCCUACGGGAGGCAGCAGUGGGGAAUAUUGCACAAUGGGCGAAAGCCUGAUGCAGCGACGCCGCGUGAGGGAUGACGGCCUUCGGGUUGUAAACCUCUUUCAGCAGGGAAGAAGCGAAAGUGAC